UCAGUCAUAUUGAAUGCCUGCUGGGAAGU
This 29-nucleotide non-coding RNA is filed under the name Rattus norvegicus (Norway rat). Lineage: Eukaryota; Metazoa; Chordata; Mammalia; Rodentia; Muridae. The record is from RNAcentral.